This 504-nucleotide ribosomal RNA is filed under the name uncultured bacterium. RNAcentral describes it as "partial 16S ribosomal RNA". It matches the Rfam family "Bacterial small subunit ribosomal RNA", at positions 30 to 523 of the family's 1533-position model. The record is from RNAcentral.
AUUGAACGCUGGCGGCAGGCCUAACACAUGCAAGUCGAAGGGUAGCACAGAGAACUUGCUCUCGGGUGACGAGUGGCGGACGGGUGAGUAAUGUCUGGGAAACUGCCCGAUGGAGGGGGAUAACUACUGGAAACGGUAGCUAAUACCGCAUAACGUCGCAAGACCAAAGUGGGGGACUUUCGGGCCUCACACCAUCGGAUGUGCCCAGAUGGGAUUAGCUAGUAGGUGGGGUAAUGGCUCACCUAGGCGACGAUCCCUAGCUGGGCUGAGAGGAUGACCAGCCACACUGGAACUGAGACACGGUCCAGCCUCCUACGGGAGGCAGCAGUGGGGAAUAUUUCACAAUGGGCGCAAGCCUGAUGCAGCCAUGCCGCGUGUAUGAAGAAGGCCUUCGGGUUGUAAAGUACUUUCAGCGGGGAGGAAGGCGGUGAAGUUAAUAACUUCACCGAUUGACGUUACCCGCAGAAGAAGCACCGGCUAACUCCGUGCCAGCAGCCGCCGUAA